GAUGAACGCUAGCGGGAGGCUUAACACAUGCAAGUCGAGGGGCAGCACGAGAUAGCAAUAUUUUGGUGGCGACCGGCGCACGGGUGAGUAACACGUAUGCAACCUACCCUGUACAGGGGGAUAACCCGGAGAAAUUCGGACUAAUAUCCCAUAAAGAUAUGAGAAGGCAUCUUUUUAUAUUUAAAGUUUUGGCGGUACGGGAUGGGCAUGCGGAACAUUAGCUAGUUGGCAGGGUAACGGCCUACCAAGGCUACGAUGUUUAGGGGACCUGAGAGGGUGAUCCCCCACACUGGUACUGAGACACGGACCAGACUCCUACGGGAGGCAGCAGUGAGGAAUAUUGGUCAAUGGGCGGAAGCCUGAACCAGCCAUCCCGCGUGCAGGAAGACGGCGCUAUGCGUUGUAACUGCUUUUCCGGGGGAGAAUUGUCACGACGAGUCGUGGCUUGACGGUACCUGGGAAUAAGCAUCGGCUAACUCCGUG
RNAcentral lists this ribosomal RNA (483 nucleotides) under uncultured bacterium. Its description in RNAcentral is "bacterial SSU rRNA". It matches the Rfam family "Bacterial small subunit ribosomal RNA", at positions 28 to 507 of the family's 1533-position model. The record is from RNAcentral.